Molecule: non-coding RNA, 134 nt
Organism: Gossypium hirsutum (cotton)
Lineage: Eukaryota; Viridiplantae; Streptophyta; Magnoliopsida; Malvales; Malvaceae
Source: Rfam
UAUUAAAAUUUUCAUACAUUUGUAUCGUUAAAAACUGGCAUGGUUGCUGGAAUAAUCAAAUACAUGUAACGUGUACCUAAUGCUAAUGUAUAAAUACCAAUUUUUAAUAGCAGAAAUGGAUGAAAAUUUCAAUA